UACAGUGAAACCUGGGUAAACCGAACCCUGAUAAAACCGAAUUUCUGUUUAAACCGAACAAUUUUCAAAGUCCCACAAAAUUUCCCCAUCAAUUACUGUUAAUCUAACCUGAAAAAUCCGAACCCUGUCAACACCGAAUUCCGAACGCUUUUUGAAGGCUCGUUAGUAAAUUUGUAUGUAAAAAUUACUUGUCAAAAUCGAUCAAUACCAAUCAAAACAAUAAAAUAUUAUUAAUUAUUUGCAUGAUUUAAUUAAACAAACACAGGAUGACAGAGUAUCCCCGAAGGUAUUUGAGGUUUAAUGAACUUGUGAGUUGUUAUUACAAACUAAUUAGCAUGUGUGUGUCCAUGUAUAAAGUGAUUUUUUGGUAAAAAACGUUAAACUGGUCAGCUACCCCCAUCGCUAGCCUGGGGUCCUGGCUAAUCUUGGACGCGCAGCUAGAUUGGGCCGGAUCCCAGGCUACCCCCAUCGCCGAUAAUGACAAGAAAGGAACUUUCCCUCAGAUCAAUUAAAUGCACCUUACUCAAAUAAUUACGGCCACAAAAUCGAAACUACCAUUCUGUAGCUAAACUGUUUAAUUAAAUAAUAGUUUUAAAGGCUUUCACCGGAUUAAAAAGUCGUGCAACACAACAAGGUCAAUGGAUUUCGAUUGCUGGAUUCCCUUUAGAGGCCCUAUAUAUUUGAUUCGAAUGCUCCCGAUGACUUCCGUUAGCUAUUUAGCAACGAUAAAGUCCGAGAAUAAACUGGACCCCUGCUGUUGUUUCACUGUUAUCGUGUGCCGAAAUAUCAAUCAGUGGGUGACCAGUUUAGUCCGAUAACUCGUGUGUUGAAUGACGUUCCCGAUUCGACUACGGAAUCGUCAUUUGACAGUGACUGUGAAUCUGAAUUGGUCAGUGAAUUAACGGAUGAGAAAAUAAUUAUAAAAAGCAAAAUCGCUCCACGUAGGACAUCUCCCAACGACGAGCGUGAUUGAAGAAGUGGCGUUUGAUUUAUAAACAAAAAUGUAGCAAAACGUCUAUCUUCAUCUUCUUUUAUUUUUACAUUUAAACCUGAACAAUGAACACAAAAAUAAACUGUCGUCUGUUGUGUCACUUAUUAUCCCUUGUCAGUAAAUGCCAAAAUUAUUUUGGUGUCGACUUCCGUUUACCUCUACAAUCCGAACACCUGUGAAAACCGAACAAAACGCAAAGUCCCGGGGGUGUUCGGUUAGGACAGGUUUCACUGUA
RNAcentral lists this long non-coding RNA (1226 nucleotides) under Mytilus galloprovincialis (Mediterranean mussel). The record is from RNAcentral. Lineage: Eukaryota; Metazoa; Mollusca; Bivalvia; Mytilida; Mytilidae.